RNAcentral lists this ribosomal RNA (250 nucleotides) under uncultured bacterium. RNAcentral's name for it is "partial 16S ribosomal RNA". It matches the Rfam family "Bacterial small subunit ribosomal RNA", at positions 524 to 773 of the family's 1533-position model. The record is from RNAcentral.
UACGUAGGGUGCAAGCGUUAAUCGGAAUUACUGGGCGUAAAGCGUGCGCAGGCGGUUAUGCAAGACAGAUGUGAAAUCCCCGGGCUUAACCUGGGAACCGCAUUUGUGACUGCAUAGCUGGAGUACGGCAGAGGGGGAUGGAAUUCCGCGUGUAGCAGUGAAAUGCGUAGAUAUCUGGAGGAACACCGGUGGCGAAGGCGGCAUCCUGGACCGGUAUUGACGCUGAGGCGCGAAAGCUAGGGGAGCAAAC